AGCCUGGACGAAUUGCUGCGCCAUCUUGAGUUUGGGACGGACGACGAUGGGAGGGAGGAGCGACUCGGCGUCUUUGCACUUUGUUCAUCUGAAUUCCACGAAAUGGAACAGACACAACCAGAAAAAGAGACAAUGACCAGACAGAACGAGUCUGCUGAGUGGCCUUUUAAAGCACCGUUUUUGCAGGCAAAAAGAAAAAAAAGGUAAGUGAAGGGGGGAAGGGUAAAAAACAACCUAACUCAGCUUCUGUAAGGGGAGCACAGUACGGAUUUAGAGAAAAAAAAACAACAACAAAGAGGCACACAUUAAUACACGACACAUGGACAAGCACAUGUGUGGUGGGCAAAUAUUGGGGGAACAUUUCAGCCCAAUCAACCAGAAUGAAUGAGUUCAUUAAAGACCCCAGUUUGGGGAAAUUGAUUUUUAUUUUCCACUAUUUAGCAAGUCAAGCAUUCAUGCAUUUGAUAUGAUAUUUGUACACCCAUUACGCUUAACAGAUGACGCGAUAGGAUGAUGCGCUUCCCUUUAGUGACGCGGGUCGUACUAUGAGGUAGGCACAACGGGCACCAACCCCCUCCCAGGCAGUGAGUUGCAUCUUCACUAUCUGCUCGUAGCAGCCCCCCCAAUGCAAGAGAUUAGGGCGGCGUGUUUUGGUGUGUCAUAGCCUCAGGCUGGGUGUGGAAAGACCUCUGUGAAUCCAAUAGAUUAACAUGGAUCUUCACCCCACCCAACCCCGGGACAAGUCACAAGCACACGUGUGUAUUUCCAUCACUUAAAGGAAUUUGACUAAAGACUUCUAGAACCCAAUCACAUUUCCUGUCAUAUUGGAGCAUUUGGGGACUUGCUCUGUUUUCAAAGCCCGUGUUGUUGAGCAAUAUGCGUCAUGAUGGGUGUUAAAAAGAUCAACACACGCACAUUCGUGAGUUAAUGAAGCCAGUUGAAACUCUGGGUGACGGGCACAAAUCUCAAGUCGUUUUAUUUACAUCGGCAGAGCCAUCAAACAUAAAACAAAAAAAAAACAUGCUAAUAUGGAAUACUGUGUGUUUAGUUCCAGGAGUCUUCCUGUUUGUAUCACAGCUUACCUGAUGUACAAACAAUUAAACGUGUCUCAUUGGUUUGAGAAUGUUUUUAUUGACAGGAUACCCAACGGUGUCCUCCAGUAGAAGCUUUGACUCACUCUUUGUUCAAGCGCAGACAAUAUUUUGUUUGUUCAUGUGGAGGACGACGCGUUCAUCAAAAUGUAGUUGGCCGUAUUUUUCUCCAGUGCCACGUCUCUCCGAAUUAUAUUGUUCAGAUGUGCAAAGUUAGCCCGUGCUUAGGAAAAUGAGAUUUGUCAAUUUUGCUAGUCAAAUAGAAGUAGGAAGAGGCCACUCCUGAAACACUUUCCAAGUUCUUCUUUUGAAACUUGCAACAGUGCAAGUUCUCAGCUGUGCUGUAAAAUGAGUAAUUGUGCACAGGAAUGCGAUGAUGCUUGUUGCGUCAGGCUAACAGUCAUCUUUUGUCAUGCUUAGCGUCUGAAGUUUAAAAAAAAAAAACAUAUGCACCAAAUUUGAACGUCAGAUUCAUUUUUACACCACAUAAAUCGUUUGUGAUGCAAAGUAUCUCUGCGAAUAGCUCCGGUCCUAACCUAACCGUUAAGCGCGUUGUUGAAUUACAAUUUCUCUUCAACCGCAUUCCAUUCACGCCAGUGCUCUUCAUCUCGGAUUGUGCGAGGAAUCCAGAGUCUCCGGGGAAAUACAUGUGAACUCCACACACUCACACAAAAAUAAAAAAAACGUUUGACGCAGACGUGCGAACGUGCACUACCUUACUUUUCUUUUUCUUUGUUGUUUAGUUUGCAUCUCCUCUGCCACGCUCUAGUU
This is a long non-coding RNA of Hippocampus zosterae (dwarf seahorse), 1862 nucleotides long. RefSeq lists it as uncharacterized. The record is from RefSeq and is a predicted model, not a curated record. The transcript has 2 exons. Lineage: Eukaryota; Metazoa; Chordata; Actinopteri; Syngnathiformes; Syngnathidae.